RNAcentral lists this ribosomal RNA (860 nucleotides) under Staphylococcus arlettae. Its description in RNAcentral is "bacterial SSU rRNA". It matches the Rfam family "Bacterial small subunit ribosomal RNA", at positions 18 to 859 of the family's 1533-position model. Lineage: Bacteria; Bacillati; Bacillota; Bacilli; Caryophanales; Staphylococcaceae. The record is from RNAcentral.
UCCUGCUCAGGAUGAACGCUGGCGGCGUGCCUAAUACAUGCAAGUCGAGCGAACAGAUAAGGAGCUUGCUCCUUUGACGUUAGCGGCGGACGGGUGAGUAACACGUGGGUAACCUACCUAUAAGACUGGAAUAACUCCGGGAAACCGGGGCUAAUGCCGGAUAACAUUUAGAACCGCAUGGUUCUAAAGUGAAAGAUGGUUUUGCUAUCACUUAUAGAUGGACCCGCGCCGUAUUAGCUAGUUGGUAAGGUAAUGGCUUACCAAGGCAACGAUACGUAGCCGACCUGAGAGGGUGAUCGGCCACACUGGAACUGAGACACGGUCCAGACUCCUACGGGAGGCAGCAGUAGGGAAUCUUCCGCAAUGGGCGAAAGCCUGACGGAGCAACGCCGCGUGAGUGAUGAAGGGUUUCGGCUCGUAAAACUCUGUUAUUAGGGAAGAACAAACGUGUAAGUAACUGUGCACGUCUUGACGGUACCUAAUCAGAAAGCCACGGCUAACUACGUGCCAGCAGCCGCGGUAAUACGUAGGUGGCAAGCGUUAUCCGGAAUUAUUGGGCGUAAAGCGCGCGUAGGCGGUUUCUUAAGUCUGAUGUGAAAGCCCACGGCUCAACCGUGGAGGGUCAUUGGAAACUGGGAGACUUGAGUGCAGAAGAGGAAAGUGGAAUUCCAUGUGUAGCGGUGAAAUGCGCAGAGAUAUGGAGGAACACCAGUGGCGAAGGCGACUUUCUGGUCUGUAACUGACGCUGAUGUGCGAAAGCGUGGGGAUCAAACAGGAUUAGAUACCCUGGUAGUCCACGCCGUAAACGAUGAGUGCUAAGUGUUAGGGGGUUUCCGCCCCUUAGUGCUGCAGCUAACGCA